Molecule: ribosomal RNA, 502 nt
Filed under: uncultured bacterium
Lineage: Bacteria
Description: partial 16S ribosomal RNA
Rfam family: Bacterial small subunit ribosomal RNA
Source: RNAcentral
GAUGAACGCUAGCGGCAGGCCUAACACAUGCAAGUCGAGGGGCAGCACAGAAACAGCAAUGUUUUGGUGGCGACCGGCGGACGGGUGCGUAACGCGUAUGCAACCUACCUUUAACAGGGGGAUAACGGAGAGAAAUUUCCACUAAUACCCCAUAACAUCGAUCAAGGCAUCUUGAUUGGUUGAAAACUCCGGUUGUUAAAGAUGGGCAUGCUUUGUAUUAGGUAGUUGGUGAGGCAAUGGCUCACCAAGCCUACGAUACAUAGGGGGACUGAGAGGUUAGCCCCCCACACUGGUACUGAGACACGGACCAGACUCCUACGGGAGGCAGCAGUGAGGAAUGUUGGUCAAUGGGGGCAACCCUGAACCAGCCAUGCCGCGUGCAGGAAGACGGCUCUAUGAGUUGUAAACUGCUUUUAAACAGGGAUAAAGCACAGUAUGUAUACUGUGUUGAAGGUACUGUAAGAAUAAGGAUCGGCUAACUCCGUGCCAGCCGCCGCAGUAA